AUGAUGAAUCUUAUAUCGUUUGAGACGCCUCCUCCUCUUGGUAGGCAAGAGAGCACCGCUGCUACUGCAGCCACCGGCAUGAAGGUGGCAAAGGAAGCGAGCUCUAGUGACGCAUGCUUCCACGGUAGCAAUCUAGACCUAAGCCUCGGCAUCUCCUUGUCUCCCGGAGGUAACUGCAGCGCCGCCAGCUGCGGUGGCGCCGCCAUGGCAAGCUACAACGGUCGUCAAGGUGGGGGCAAUGUCGGUCGAGUGCAGAGCAGUGACAUGGUCAUCGCUAGUACCGCCACUGCGAACACGCUUAGCGCAGGGCGUGGUGGUAAUUGCCAUGGCAUUGUGCCUAGCAGCAGCUGGGCGGCGGUGUUCAUGCCAAGCCCGACCGGCUUCAUGCACCCCUGGAGCCUCGCCGCCCGGCAGCAGAAGGCGGCCGCGGAGCAGGACCGGAACAUUGCGCCAGCGUCGGUGGCAACAACAUAUGUGACAAGCGAUGCUAGUGUGGUCUCAGUGCCUUCGGCGGCUGUGGGCUGGCCGCCGGUGCACACCUCCCGGCGCCACCUCGUCACCGCCACGCAUGUGCCAAAACCCGACGCCGGCGUGAAGCAGCCCGACGGCCCAAAGAACACGAAGAUACCCACCGCGGCCUCGCCCGCCGAUGAUGAUAAGGAGGUGGCGGGGACGCCGAGGAGCUAUACGGUCACCGCAGAACCGCAGCGGCUGCAGGCAAACAUGUUCGCCAAGGUGCACAUGGAUGGCUGCCUGAUCGUCAGGAAGAUCAACCUGAGAGCUCACCGCAGCUACGACUCCCUCUCGCGGGCGCUCACCAGGAUGACAAGAAACUUCUUCUGCCCUGCAGAUUAUCGGAGUUCGGAUUCUGGGGAAGGCGAUUGUGCAAAUAGUGACGACUUCAUAUUUCUAUAUGAAGACUUUGAAGGCGACCGGAUGCUUGUUGGAGAUGUCCCAUGGGAGUUGUUUCUUGCGACGGCCAAAAAAUUAUGCAUUUCUCGUCAUCCAACAUCAAGAGAUACCAAAGGUCAUGACGAAGCAGCAAAAUUAGACGCAAGUGUGAAGAUAGCUACAAAUAACUGA
This 1083-nucleotide ribosomal RNA is filed under the name Triticum aestivum (bread wheat). RNAcentral describes it as "partial small subunit ribosomal RNA". The record is from RNAcentral. Lineage: Eukaryota; Viridiplantae; Streptophyta; Magnoliopsida; Poales; Poaceae.